UACGAAGGGGGCUAGCGUUGCUCGGAAUCACUGGGCGUAAAGCGCACGUAGGCGGACUCUUAAGUCGGUGGUGAAAUCCUGGAGCUCAACCCCAGAACUGCCUUUGAUACUGGCGAUCUUGAGUCCGGGAGAGGUGAGUGGAACUGCGAGUGUAGAGGUGAAAUUCGUAGAUAUUCGCAAGAACACCAGUGGCGAAGGCGGCUCACUGGCCCGAUACUGACGCUGAGGCACGAAAGCGUGGGGAGCAAACAGG
Molecule: ribosomal RNA, 253 nt
Filed under: uncultured bacterium
Lineage: Bacteria
Description: partial 16S ribosomal RNA
Rfam family: Bacterial small subunit ribosomal RNA
Source: RNAcentral